RNAcentral lists this signal recognition particle RNA (98 nucleotides) under Actinomycetes bacterium. RNAcentral's name for it is "Actinobacteria bacterium signal recognition particle sRNA small type". It matches the Rfam family "Bacterial small signal recognition particle RNA". From Rfam's summary of the family: The signal recognition particle (SRP) is a universally conserved ribonucleoprotein involved in the co-translational targeting of proteins to membranes. Archaeal SRP consists of a 7S RNA and homologues of the eukaryotic SRP19 and SRP54 proteins. Lineage: Bacteria; Bacillati; Actinomycetota; Actinomycetes. The record is from RNAcentral.
GGCCGGGCCCCGGGCGGUGGGAGCUUGCGAACCGCGUCAGAUCCGGGAGGAAGCAGCGCUAAGCAAUGCCUCUCAGGCGCCCGGUGUGUCCGGCCCUU